Long non-coding RNA from Laticauda laticaudata (blue-ringed sea krait), 550 nucleotides. NCBI's taxonomy places the organism in Eukaryota, Metazoa, Chordata, Lepidosauria, Squamata, Elapidae. The record is from Ensembl.
UCUGCCUGCCGGUUCUGGGCUCCACAGCCACCAGGUGCUGGCGUGCGUUUGGUGGAUUUGCCCUGCCAUGCCACCCAAAGAGCCUUAGGCAUUAAUGGAUGUAUUUGUUCUGCUCGGUAAUCAUUAAUUGCCCUCUGAAAUAAAGCAGAAUAAAUGGUGGCAUGAAGAGGUCGCCGGGAGCCUCUCCGAUGCGGUUCUAGCCGGUCCGAGGAGGUCCAGGAGGGUGUUGUUUGGUUGUGGAUCUUUGAAUUAAUGUGCUUCUAGUUUGCUUUAGAGGGGAGGCUCGACCCAACCCCAGCUGCUCCUGGAAUCGCCCCAAACAGACUUGGAGGGAUCACCUCAGAAUCUCCUGCAGGGCUCCCGAGCAUGAAACAAGCCGUGGCUUGGAAUGUGCUGGAAUAUCUUUGCCGAUUGCUGGGCAUCUCGACCGGAGCAGUGCAAUGACGCCAUGUCUGUGAAACUUCUGCCAAGCCAAAUGAGUGAAGAGCUAAGCUGCAUGUUAUUUCCAAGACUUCCACACCGGCUCCAGAGGCCUUUUCAGAAAGCGGAC